CAGGCUUAACACAUGCAAGUCGAGGGGCAGCAUUUUAGUUUGCUUGCAAACUGAAGAUGGCGACCGGCGCACGGGUGAGUAACACGUAUCCAACCUGCCGAUAACUCCGGAAUAGCCUUUCGAAAGAAAGAUUAAUACCGGAUAGCAUACGAAUAUCGCAUGAUAUUUUUAUUAAAGAAUUUCGGUUAUCGAUGGGGAUGCGUUCCAUUAGUUUGUUGGCGGGGUAACGGCCCACCAAGACUACGAUGGAUAGGGGUUCUGAGAGGAAGGUCCCCCACAUUGGAACUGAGACACGGUCCAAACUCCUACGGGAGGCAGCAGUGAGGAAUAUUGGUCAAUGGGCGAGAGCCUGAACCAGCCAAGUAGCGUGAAGGAUGAAGGCUCUAUGGGUCGUAAACUUCUUUUAUAUGGGAAUAAAGUUUUCCACGUGUGGAAUUUUGUAUGUACCAUAUGAAUAAGGAUCGGCCAACUCCGUGCCAGCAGCCGCGGUAAUACGGAGGAUCCGAGCGUUAUCCGGAUUUAUUGGGUUUAAAGGGAGCGUAGGUGGAUUGUUAAGUCAGUUGUGAAAGUUUGCGGCUCAACCGUAAAAUUGCAGUUGAAACUGGCAGUCUUGAGUACAGUAGAGGUGGGCGGAAUUCGUGGUGUAGCGGUGAAAUGCUUAGAUAUCACGAAGAACUCCGAUUGCGAAGGCAGCUCACUAGACUGUCACUGACACUGAUGCUCGAAAGUGUGGGUAUCAAACAGGAUUAGAUACCCUGGUAGUCCACACAGUAAACGAUGAAUACUCGCUGUUUGCGAUAUACAGUAAGCGGCCAAGCGAAAGCAUUAAGUAUUCCACCUGGGGAGUACGCCGGCAACGGUGAAACUCAAAGGAAUUGACGGGGGCCCGCACAAGCGGAGGAACAUGUGGUUUAAUUCGAUGAUACGCGAGGAACCUUACCCGGGCUUAAAUUGCAACAGAAUAUAUUGGAAACAGUAUAGCCGUAAGGCUGUUGUGAAGGUGCUGCAUGGUUGUCGUCAGCUCGUGCCGUGAGGUGUCGGCUUAAGUGCCAUAACGAGCGCAACCCUUAUCUUUAGUUACUAACAGGUUAUGCUGAGGACUCUAGAGAGACUGCCGUCGUAAGAUGUGAGGAAGGUGGGGAUGACGUCAAAUCAGCACGGCCCUUACGUCCGGGGCUACACACGUGUUACAAUGGGGGGUACAGAAGGCGGCUACCUGGUGACAGGAUGCUAAUCCCAAAAACCUCUCUCAGUUCGGAUCGAAGUCUGCAACCCGACUUCGUGAAGCUGGAUUCGCUAGUAAUCGCGCAUCAGCCAUGGCGCGGUGAAUACGUUCCCGGGCCUUGUACACACCGCCCGUCAAGCCAUGAAAGCCGGGGGUACCUGAAGUACGUAACCGCAAGGAGCGUCCUAGGGUAAAACUGGUAAUUGGGGC
This 1435-nucleotide ribosomal RNA is filed under the name uncultured organism. Its description in RNAcentral is "16S ribosomal RNA". It matches the Rfam family "Bacterial small subunit ribosomal RNA". The record is from RNAcentral.